This 433-nucleotide ribosomal RNA is filed under the name uncultured bacterium. Its description in RNAcentral is "partial 16S ribosomal RNA". It matches the Rfam family "Bacterial small subunit ribosomal RNA", at positions 29 to 507 of the family's 1533-position model. The record is from RNAcentral.
AACGAACGCUGGCGGCAUGCCUAACACAUGCAAGUCGAACGAGACCUUCGGGUCUAGUGGCGCACGGGUGCGUAACGCGUGGGAACCUGCCCUUAGGUUCGGAAUAACUCCCCGAAAGGGGUGCUAAUACCGGAUAAUGUCUUCGGACCAAAGAUCUAUCGCCUUUGGAUGGGCCCGGGUUGGAUUAGCUGGUUGGUAGGGUAAAAGCCUACCAAGGCGACGAUCCAUAGCUGGUCUGAGAGGAUGCUCAGCCACACUGGGACUGAGACACGGCCCAGACUCCUACGGAAGGCAGCAGUGGGGAGUAUUGGACGAUGGGCGAAAGCCUGAUCCAGCAAUGCCGCGUGAGUGAUGAAGGCCUUAGGGUUGUAAAGCUCUUUUACCCGAGAUGAUAAUGACAGUACCGGGAGAAUAAGCUCCGGCUAACUCCGUG